This is a non-coding RNA of Candidatus Omnitrophica bacterium CG1_02_43_210, 73 nucleotides long. The record is from Rfam. Lineage: Bacteria; Pseudomonadati; Candidatus Omnitrophota.
GGGCCCAUAGCUCAGCGGUUAGAGCAGGUGACUCAUAAUCACUUGGUCGGAGGUUCGAUCCCUUCUGGGCCCA